Ictidomys tridecemlineatus (thirteen-lined ground squirrel) is the source of this 94-nucleotide small nuclear RNA. The record is from Ensembl. Lineage: Eukaryota; Metazoa; Chordata; Mammalia; Rodentia; Sciuridae.
GCAGCACACAUAUUAAAAUGGAAGGACACAGAGAAGAUUACCAUGGCCCCUGCUCAAAGAUGACAUACAAAUCCGUGCAGUGUUUCAUAUUUGG